This 209-nucleotide ribosomal RNA is filed under the name uncultured bacterium. RNAcentral describes it as "partial 16S ribosomal RNA". It matches the Rfam family "Bacterial small subunit ribosomal RNA", at positions 567 to 774 of the family's 1533-position model. The record is from RNAcentral.
UUGCGUAGGUGGUUUAAUAAGUGAAUAGUGAAAUCUGGUGGCUCAACCAUUCAGACCGUUAUUCAAACUGUUAAACUCGAGAACAGCAGAGGUAACUGGAAUUUCUUGUGUAGGAGUGAAAUCCGUAGAUAUAAGAAGGAACACCAAUGGCGUAGGCAGGUUACUGGGCUGUUUCUGACACUGAGGCACGAAAGCGUGGGGAGCGAACC